AACGAACGCUGGCGGCAGGCUUAACACAUGCAAGUCGAACGGUUGUAGCAAUACAGCAGUGGCAGACGGGUGAGUAACACGCGGGAACCUUCCUAGGGGUACGGAACAACUCAGGGAAACUUGAGCUAAUACCGUAUACGUCCGUGAGGAGAAAGAUUUAUCGCCCUUAGACGGGCCCGCGUAGGAUUAGGUAGUUGGUGGGGUAAUGGCCUACCAAGCCUACGAUCCUUAGCUGAUCUGAGAGGAUGAUCAGCCACACUGGGACUGAGACACGGCCCAGACUCUACGGGAGGCAGCAGUGGGGAAUCUUGGACAAUGGGCGCAAGCCUGAUCCAGCCAUGCCGCGUGAGUGAAGAAGGCCUGUUGUAAGU
Molecule: ribosomal RNA, 371 nt
Filed under: uncultured bacterium
Lineage: Bacteria
Description: bacterial SSU rRNA
Rfam family: Bacterial small subunit ribosomal RNA
Source: RNAcentral